Small nuclear RNA from Rana temporaria (common frog), 162 nucleotides. RefSeq annotates it as U1 spliceosomal RNA. The record is from RefSeq and is a predicted model, not a curated record. The transcript has a single exon. NCBI's taxonomy places the organism in Eukaryota, Metazoa, Chordata, Amphibia, Anura, Ranidae.
UGAUUUACCAAUGCCUUGUUCUAAGGUAAGUAUUUCAUAAUGAGCUAGGUCGAGGUUCGGCCAUUGCACUCUGGCUGUGCUGACCCCUGCAAUUUCCCCAAAUGGGGGAAACGCAACUGCAUAAAUUGUGGUAGUGGGGGACUGCGUUCACGCUUUCCCCUU